AUUGAACGCUGGCGGCAGGCCUAACACAUGCAAGUCGAGCGAGCGGCGGACGGGUGAGUAAUGUAUGGGGACUGCCCGAUAGAGGGGGAUAACUACUGGAAACGGUGGCUAAUACCGCACACUGUCGGAUAACCCAUAUGGGAUUAGCUAGUAGGUAAGGUAAUGGCUGACCUCGGCGACGAUCCCUAGCUGGUCUGAGAGGAUGAUCCGCCACACGGGGACUGAGACAGGGCCCAGACUCCUACGGAGGCAGCAGUGGGGAAUAUUGGACAAUGGGCGCAAGCCUGAUGCAGCCAUGCCGCGUGUAUAAAGAAGGCCCUAGGGUUGUAAAGUAUUUUCAGUCGGGAGGCGUUACCGACAGAAGAAGCACCGGCUAACUCCGUGCCAGCAGCCGCGGUAAUUC
Molecule: ribosomal RNA, 403 nt
Filed under: uncultured bacterium
Lineage: Bacteria
Description: partial 16S ribosomal RNA
Rfam family: Bacterial small subunit ribosomal RNA
Source: RNAcentral